CAUCACACUAAUUAUACUACCUUCACUAUAUUUCCUUUAAUUUAUCCCCACUUAUGAUGGUGGUCGAAUCUACAUAAGUAAAUCGGUGGGAACUCUAACUUAUGGUAUGUCUAUGGUGACGGAGUCCUCCAGGUGUUGAGCAUGCGCAUUUCCCCCUUAUUGGGUCUUUGAAUAGUGCGCCUGCGCUGUGGGGGUCAGUGAGCCAGGUGGUGUCCGACUGAAGGGUUAUGCACGACAGCAUGCCGGCCCCAAGCCUAUUGGUCCUGUACGGCAGCCAGACUGGCACAGCCCAAGACACGGCAGAGCGGAUUGGACGACAGGCUCAGAGGAGGCGGGUCCAAGUCAGGGUGGAGGCAUUGGACAGCUACAAUGUGGCCCACCUGAUCAACGAACCUCUGGUGGUCUUCGUGUGCUCCACCACUGGGCAGGGGGAUCCCCCAGACAACAUGAAG
Molecule: non-coding RNA, 452 nt
Organism: Lepisosteus oculatus (spotted gar)
Lineage: Eukaryota; Metazoa; Chordata; Actinopteri; Semionotiformes; Lepisosteidae
Source: RefSeq, a predicted model, not a curated record